UUAAGGCUAGGGGGUCAUCCCGACUUACCAACCCUUUGCAAACUCCGAAUACCAGUGAGUACUAUCCGGGAGACACACGGCGGGUGCUAACGUCCGUCGUGAAGAGGGAAACAACCCAGACCGCCAGCUAAGGUCCCAAAGUCAUGGUUAAGUGGGAAACGAUGUGGGAAGGCCCAGACAGCCAGGAUGUUGGCUUAGAAGCAGCCAUCAUUUAAAGAAAGCGUAAUAGCUCACUGGUCGAGUCGGCCUGCGCGGAAGAUGUAACGGGGCUAAACCAUGCACCGAAGCUGCGGCAGCGACGCUUAUGCGUUGUUGGGUAGGGGAGCGUUCUGUAAGCCUGCGAAGGUGUGCUGUGAGGCAUGCUGGAGGUAUCAGAAGUGCGAAUGCUGACAUAAGUAACGAUAAAGCGGGUGAAAAGCCCGCUCGCCGGAAGACCAAGGGUUCCUGUCCAACGUUAAUCGGGGCAGGGUGAGUCGACCCCUAAGGCGAGGCCGAAAGGCGUAGUCGAUGGGAAACAGGUUAAUAUUCCUGUACUUGGUGUUACUGCGAAGGGGGGACGGAGAAGGCUAUGUUGGCCGGGCGACGGUUGUCCCGGUUUAAGCGUGUAGGCUGGUUUUCCAGGCAAAUCCGGAAAAUCAAGGCUGAGGCGUGAUGACGAGGCACUACGGUGCUGAAGCAACAAAUGCCCUGCUUCCAGGAAAAGCCUCUAAGCAUCAGGUAACAUCAAAUCGUACCCCAAACCGACACAGGUGGUCAGGUAGAGAAUACCAAGGCGCUUGAGAGAACUCGGGUGAAGGAACUAGGCAAAAUGGUGCCGUAACUUCGGGAGAAGGCACGCCGCUUUUAGUGAUCGGAUUUACUCCGUAAGCUGAAGGCGGUCGAAGAUACCAGAUGGCUGCGACUGUUUAUUAAAAACACAGCACUGUGCAAACACGAAAGUGGACGUAUACGGUGUGACGCCUGCCCGGUGCUUGAAGGUUAAUUGAUGGGGUUAGCGCAAGCGAAGCUCUUGAUCGAAGCCCAAGUAAACGGCGGCCGUAACUAUAACGGUCCUAAGGUAGCGAAAUUCCUUGUCGGG
Molecule: ribosomal RNA, 1078 nt
Filed under: seawater metagenome
Description: bacterial LSU rRNA
Rfam family: Bacterial large subunit ribosomal RNA
Source: RNAcentral